UGGUCUCAUAUCGACUCAACAUGAUUUUUCCCUUUAGGGACUAUUCGCAUUUGCACAAGUACUAUGGGGAAAACGGAGAUCAAGCGUUGGCCUUGCUUCCAUAACUGCCUUGUCAACUUCGUUAUCAAAGAACUUGAAUCCCUCAAACUUCAGAUGAUACUAACACAAGGGUACAAGAACUGAGACUGCAGCCUUGUGAAGCUCAGACUUAUGUUAGGCAGAGCAGGGACAGUUCUGUGCCUCCAAUCCAGGGGAAACCUAUGCCCAUAUUCAGCAGGAAGCAGCCCCAGAAGACAGACCUUCCCCUCAAGAAUGGGGAGUAGUGAUGAGGAAAGGGGGUGUUGUUGCCAGAGCCAACAGCAGAUCCUUGCCAAAGCCUGCAAAACCCUCCUUGAACUGGAGUUAUCAUGUAUCAAGAAGUGAAAUGUCUGGAGACAAGAGGAGGAAGCUAUAGGAAGAGACAAACCAGAUGGAACCAGGUGGAAUCAGGAUGAUGAUGACUCUGACCUCCCCCAGACUCCGAGUCUCAUUCAACACAGAUUUUGCCACAUUAGCUACUAGAUGACACACCUACUGGUGGUCGUGUCAGGAAGAUGCUGACCAAAAAAGGAUAAAAGGGGGGUGGCACCCAUUUCCAGGAAAGUCCUGGCACUUCCCUGCAGAGUAAUGGGCAGGCCUCCCUGUCAUUAGCCUCACUCCUCUUCCCUUUAUCUUUACUCCUUAAAAUCAAAGACCUCUCACAACUUGGCUGGGAACUUCAGCUGUGAACUAAGGUCCUACUUAUCCAUUCUUUGCCCACUGAAUAAAACCUGGGCAUCCACCUCCA
This is a long non-coding RNA of Phacochoerus africanus (Common warthog), 826 nucleotides long. RefSeq lists it as uncharacterized. Lineage: Eukaryota; Metazoa; Chordata; Mammalia; Artiodactyla; Suidae. The record is from RefSeq and is a predicted model, not a curated record. The transcript has 2 exons.